Molecule: ribosomal RNA, 460 nt
Filed under: uncultured bacterium
Lineage: Bacteria
Description: partial 16S ribosomal RNA
Rfam family: Bacterial small subunit ribosomal RNA
Source: RNAcentral
CCUACGGGCGGCAGCAGUGAGGAAUAUUGGUCAAUGGACGAGAGUCUGAACCAGCCAAGUAGCGUGAAGGAUGACUGCCCUAUGGGUUGUAAACUUCUUUUAUAUGGGAAUAAAAUGUUCCACGUGUGGGAUUUUGUAUGUACCAUAUGAAUAAGGAUCGGCUAACUCCGUUCCAGCAGCCGCGGUAAUACGGAGGAUCCGAGCGUUAUCCGGAUUUAUUGGGUUUAAAGGGAGCGUAGGUGGAUUGUUAAGUCAGUUGUGAAAGUUUGCGGCUCAACCGUAAAAUUGCAGUUGAAACUGGCAGUCUUGAGUACAGUAGAGGUGGGCGGAAUUCGUGGUGUAGCGGUGAAAUGCUUAGAUAUCACGAAGAACUCCGAUUGCGAAGGCAGUUCACUGGACUGCAACUGACACUGAGGCUCGAAAGUGUGGGUAUCAAACAGGAUUAGAUACCCCAGUAGUC